UAAUUUGUGUUUCAAGAUUAUUGAUCUUUCGUAUUGAAGUUCUGAAAAUUAUAUUUUUUUCUUAGGUGGAGAAGUAUUGAAAAGAUGGAUCUUGAAGUUAUUCCUUUCAUUUUAGUAGUGUAACUAGCAAGAGCUCAAGAUUAUUUGCCGCCAUUCUUUGAUUACAGAAGUUUUUAUUUUGUUUGUUUCUUGCAUUGACAAAUGAAUUUUGAACUUGUUCUUGGAUAAUUUAUCUUUGGGAGAAAAUGAAUUGGUGGUGUAGGUUUGGGAAACAGUGGAUCAGGACACCCUGUGGAAAUUUAGGUUUUAUUAUGUGUUUAUUAUUUUCUUUGCUGCUAUUAUUCAUGGAUAAACUUGUGGAUUGGGAAUGCUUACCUCUUUAUGACAGGCACCGUAAAUGUCUGUGUCAGCCAUUUAAUUUUCUCUUUCUAGUCCACAGACAUUUCUUUCAGCAACUGAGUCAUUUAAUCGCAAAGAGAGUUUUGUUGCCUUUCAUGUUCUUUGUUGUCAAAACAACCUUGUUUCUUUUUUAUCAGCUAUAGUAUUUAGUUUCACUGCGAUCUCGGGAUGUGUUAUUUGGAAGUGAUGUGGUUACUCAUUUAAGGAUUGACGUGUUAUUUGGAAGUGAGGUGGUUAUUCAUUCGAGGAUUGAAUUCCAUUCCCUUUGACUUGCAUUGUUUGUGUUCAUUGCUAUCAAACAACUUUCUUCAUUUUAAAUGUAUGGAGUCUAUUUUUUUAAGAUGAAAUCCCCACUAAAUGUUUAUGUUUUAUUUUUUCUUUCUUUUUCAUCAUCUCCUAGUUAUUUGUGUUUCUCAUAGGCUUGGUCUCAUCCCUUCGACUUGCAUAUGUUUGUGUUCAUUGCUAUUGAACAACUUUCUUUUUUGCCAUUAGUCUUCUGGAGCUUUGCCAUGAGACUUCUUGAGUUUUGCCGUGAGACUUCUUGAGUUUUGCCGUGAGACUUCUUGAGCUUUGUCACAAGUCUUCUUGAGCUUUGCCACGAGUCUUCUUGAGCUCUGCCAUGAGUCUUCUUGAGCUCGGCAAUGAGUUUUCUUGAGCUUUGUCGUGAAGAAUGUAGGGGUCAGGUUUUGGAAACCGUGGAUGGAGAUGCAGUUAAAGUUUCGGUUUUAUUAUCUUUGCAUUUAUUAUGCUGAUAAAAAAAAUCUUUGCAUUCAUUAUUUUCUUUUUUGAUAUUCUUUUUGCUACUCUGGUGGAGUGGGAGUUCUUGUAAUUGGACCUUUGACUUUGAUGAUUUGAUUAUCUUCUACUUGUGUUGUAGAGAAUUUUGAGCUUUGCCAUUAGUCUUCUUGAGCUUUGCCAUGAGUCUUCUUGAUCUCUGCCUUGAGCCUUCUUGAACUCUGCCAUGAGUCUUCUUGAGCUUUGCCAUGAAUCUUCUUGAGCUUUGUCAUGAAUCUUCUUGAGCUUUUACAUGAAGGAUGUAGGGGUCAGGUUUUGGAAAUAGUGGAUGGAGAUACAGUUAAAGUUUAGGUUUUAUUAUCUUUGCAUUUAUUAUGCUGAUAAAAAAAAUCUUUGCAUUCAUUAUUUUCUUUGCUCCUAUUCUUUUUGCUACUCUUGUGGAGUGGGAGUUUUUGUAAUUGGGCCUUUGACUUUGAUGAUCUGAUUAUCUUCUUCUACUUGUGUUGCAAUGAACACUUACCAUGGAUGUUUGUUGGACAUAUUGUGAAGCUUCAGGUUUUAUUACUUUUCCACUCACUAUUUUUCUUAUGUGCUCGAUUUGGAAUGUGUACAGUUUCUCUUAUUUGUUGGAUAGUUGGAAGGUAUUUCAUUGUAUUGUAUGUAUCUAAGCAAGAGCAAUACUUCUAGGUCCUCCAUCAUCUAACCAUAUUGAUUAUAGUUUUCUUGAAUUCAUUGGCCUAAAAGGAAAGCUAAGCAAUGAAGUUUGGUGUAGGAUGUAAAAAUGGUUGGUGGAAAUUCUGUGAUCAGUGAAGCUAAAUGUUUCUCUCAUUAGGACAUUGUUGUGUUUAACUGAAUUAAUUUUUAACUGGCUAAACUUGUUGGUUUGAUUAUAAUCUUGGUUGUAUUUUGAUGGUGUAUGGUUCUAAGAGGCAUUGUGGGAUUAGCAUGAGACAAGUGUGGUUGGGCUUUACUCUUUUAUUUGAUGGUUUGCUUCUUGGUUUGGAAAGUUCUACUAUUUAAUUUUGAUGACUUCUCUGCAUAAUUCUAUAAUAUAGGUCUGUUGUUCUUUUAAUAGUUUUCCAAAACCUUUUGAUUCAUUAUUCUUGAUCCCAAACAUAGAAUUUUUGCAUGUAAUCUCGUGUGAUCCUAGACAACAAUGUCUCUUACUAUGAUGACGGACAUCAAUGUCUCUUACGCUGAAAUUUUUGAAAUUAGUAUAAGAAUGAUCCUGAAAUUGAAAUUGUUUAAAUGCUUCACUUUUGUUUCAACAAUCUCAUGUGUUUCUCGUUCCUUGAGUUUUGAAAUUUGCAUUUAUUUGUUUGCAACACAUUGAGUCUUUAUUUGAGGUUUCUCUUUCAGUUCAUUAACUCAGCAAGUGAUGGAAUAUAGUGGGACGACUAACAUGUUUAAUCAACCAGUUAUAGAUUUUUUUCUUUUUUUCCUUUAUUGUUUAUUGAGUUGAGUGCUUUGAAAAUAUUUCUGUAACCAAUUGGGAUUGAAAGUCCAGCGUUAUGCCUGGCAUUAGAUAAUUGGACUUCUUUUAUUAGUUAUCCAAACCGUUCAUUUUUUUCAUAUUUGUUCUAUUUGGACAGGAAUUGUAUGCGAGAGAGAUAAUGAAGUUUUGGAGGUGAAUUUGUUAAUUUCAGUUACGACUAUGGAGGAAUUGUAUUUUGGAGGUGAAUUUGUGAAUUUGUAUGAGACAACUUUGUUUCUCUGAAAUUUAGAGAGCCUCUUUAAUAUUGCAUGGUAGUUUUUUUAUACGAUAUACAAGUAUAUCCAGUUUUAUUUGGAUAUUUUUUAGCAACAAUGCUUUUGGAAUAGGAUUUGUUUGAGCGCUACCAUGAGAAAGUUCAACUUGAAACGACAACAACUCAUAAUAGCCUAAUUCCUUCUAUAUGAGGUUUCACCUUUUAUUUAACUUCUAAGGACUUGAUUACCAACAUUAGGAUUGAAUUGUGAUUUGUUUUUCUACAGUGGUUUAUGAUUGUCUUCAAACAAUGUUUGGAUCUCAUCGAGCCAGUUGGUUUCUGAGUUAAGAAUUUUUCUAAUAUUUUCUAAAAUUCCUCCCCUGAAACAAGUGUUUUUAGUUUUCUUGAAUUUUUGCUCUUUACAGAUAAGACAAGCAAUGGAUGUGUGACGACAUGUAGAAACAUGGGGAUCAAUUAAAGCCUUAGUUUGUCUUAAUUGGUGACUAGUUAUUUGAAUGCAGUUUUAUAUGUGGUGACAAUGAUCUAUCAAAAUAAAAAAAUUGGUUUAGGAUUUCCUCUCUAUUUGAUAUUUUCAGAUUUGAUCACCAAAUAUAAGGAUUUUCUGUUGCCAUUUGUUUCUCUGCAGUGAUGUUUGCAUUAUGGCUUUACAAGUCUUUCAGAGGAUCAGUAGUUUCAGAGGUGAAUUGUGUGUUGCAGUGUAAAUUGUUCAAGUUUAUUUAUUUGCAAAAGGGAUCAAUUCUCCAUUCAUUUUUGCAGAAGAUUAGAUGGCUAACAUUAUUGUUCGUUCAUUUGAUCCAGUAAGAGCUCAUUCUAGAAAUGUGGACUUCUCUUUAAAAGCCUUUGGUAUUUUAACUAUCUUCAAAAGAUAUUUUUUCUGGAUCUAUUGUUUUGACAGAGCAGGUCUUCGAGGAAGACACGAGUGUUGUUGAUUUUUAGAUUUGGAAUUGUUCAAGUACCAACAACAUGAUUUCAUGAUCUCUUAUGAUUUCCCCUGAAUUCUUGGUUGUUGUUUUGCCAGGGUAGGGUCUGGGUAGAUUUGGGUUUUUGGAUUCGGAAUUGUCCAACUACCAACAAUGUGUGUACAGGUUUGAAAUAGAUGAUGUGUUUGUCAGAUAUUUUCUAGGGAUAUAUAUAUAUAUAUAUAUAUAUAUAUAUAUAUAUUUAGUUGCUAGUUUUAUUUUUCAUUCAAUUACUUAAUUGCUUUAUUACUAUGAUCAUUUGAUUAUAAAAUUAUUCUUGGUAGUUAUAUAAUUAUUCAUGGUUGUUAGAUUACCUUUAAUAGUUACUGUUGUUGGAAAUAUAAUCUAGAAGUCCUUUGUUGGCUAAUGAUUCUCUAACAUUUUUUUUAAUUUUAUGGUAGUUGUAUUUUGCUUUGACAAUUUAGUUUAGUUUUUUUUAUUAACUCUGAUUGUUUCCAGCAUCGACACAUGAAUUUUGAACUUGUUCUUGCAUAAUUUAUCAUGGGAGAAAAUGAAUUGGUGGUGUAGGUUUGGGAAACAGUGGAUCAAGACCCUAUGGAAAUUUGGGUUUUAUUCUGUGUUUAUUAUUUUCUUUGCUGCUAUUAUUCACGGAUAAACUUGUGGACUGGGAAUGCUUACCUCUUUAUGACAGGCACUGUAAAUGUCUGUGUCAGCCAUUUAAUUUUCUCUUUCUAGUCCGCACUCAGACAUUUCUUUCAGCAACCAGUCAUUUAAUCGGAAAGAGAGUUUUGUUUCCUUUCAUGUUCUUUGUUGUCAAAACAACCUUUGUUUCUUUCUUAUCAGCUAUAGUAUUUAAUUCACUGCGAUCUCAGGAUGUGUUAUUUGGAAGUGAUGUGGUUAUUCAUUCGAGGAUUGAUGUGUUAUUUGGAAGUGAGGUGGUUAUUCAUUCGAGGAUUGAGUUUCAUUCCCUUUGACUUGCAUUUUUUUGUGUUCAUAGCUAUCAAACAACUUUCUUCCUUUGAAAUGUAUGGAGUCUAUUUUUUUAAGAUGAAAUCCCCUCUAAAUGUUAAUGUUUUAUUUUUUUUCUUUCUUUUUCAUCAUUUCCUAGUUAUUUGUGUUUCUCAUAGGCUUGGUCUCAUCCCUUCGACUUGCAUUUGUUUGUGUUCAUUGCUAUUAAACAACAUUUUUUUUAAAUGUAUGGAGUCUUUUUUGUUACGUCUAGAGAUGUUGAUUUGCUUGUUUUCAUUCCGUUUUAGGUGUUGAUUUGUUUGCGUUCAUUCCUUUUUAGGUGUUGAUUUGUUUGUGUUCAUUCCUUUUUAGCAUUUGGAGGCCUCAAGAAUGGUUGAGGAUUAAAAUCUGGAAGUGUUUAGAACGACCAAUAAUUCAGGAUAACCUAAUUUCAUUAGUUUCCUUUCCAUUUGAUUUCUUGAGAUUUGAUCACGAAGAAUAAGGAUUGAAUUGUCAUUUGUUUUUAUGAUGUCUUUCUUUGUUUUGAAUGUCUUAUUGUCUCUAUACUUCAACUCUAUGAGCCGUUGUAGCCUUCCUGAAUUCUUGGGGUGUACAGUACAGGACAAACAUGCAACAGAUGUUACGUAGGACAGAUGUGAGUAUCCUUAAAGCUCUAGGUUUUGGUAUCCACACAUAUUUUUGUCUUUAAUUGGGACUGGCUAUUUGAAUUUCUCUGGUUUUUGAAUUCCUUCAAUUCAUCUUAUGCUUUCUUAACUUCUUGGUCUUUAUUACCAAUAUCUAUUUUUAUUUAAAUAUAGUUCUUAAAUUUUUUAUGUCUAGGUGUUGAUUCGUUUGUGUUCAUUUCUUUUUAGCAUGUAAGACUGGUUAAGGAUUAAAAUCUGCUAGUGUACACGAAAAACAAGCCACGGAUGUGAGGUAGGAUAUCUAAAUACUGGAAGGAGAUGCUUGAUUCUGUAGGUUAUCCAUAAUCUUUGAUGACAGAUGCUUACUUGAGUUUGGAUGUAGUUAUUUAUUUGAUGAAAGAGAUCUAUCAUAUGUAACUUUGUGUUAGUUCCUUUUCAGCAGGGGAUUCUGGUUGAGGAUUAAAAAACAUAAAUUUGAAUAUUGAUUUUGUUUGAUUAUUGAAAUAUGACAAAUCUAGCUGUUUGAUCUUUGAAUAUGUUGAUUCUUUUUAGCAAAUCAUAGGUUAGUAAUAAUAAAAUGCUCAGGGAAGAUGUCUCCCCUUUACUUGAAACAUUGUAGAUAGAGCAUAUUUUUCCAGACUGAUAUGCGAGGUAGGGUGUGGAAACACUUCCCAGGGGAUUUGUGAAGCUUUAGGUUGUUACCUGUUAGAUAUUAUUAGAUAUUAUUAGAUAUUAUUAGAUAUUAUUAGAUAUAAUUAGAUAUUAUUUGAUAUUAUGAGAUAUUAUAGAUAUUGUUAGAUAUCUCAUAUUUAUGUAAUGGGCUUAGCCCAUAUGUUUCUUUUCCUAUAUAAACAUAACCCUAUGUGUUCAAUAUACACAAGGGAUUUACCCUAUUCUUUCUUUUCCUUUAAUAUUACCCUUACCAUUCUUGUGUCUUUAUUUGUGACUGACUAAACUUCUUGUUUGGAUUCUAAGUUUUGGUUGGAUUCAUUGCUAACAUUGUAGUUUGACUGGCAGUCUGGCAGUUCUUGUGGGUUUAGAGGUCGUGUAAUACUCUCUUUUUUAAGUUGUCCAUUUCUAAGUAAUUUAGGCUUCUCUUAGCUUUUACCAGUCCUGGAUUCAUAGUGAAAUUUGACCCUUUUACAUGGUGCAAUUGAAAUUAAGGAGAGAAUUAUUGAUCUUUAGUUUUCUAGUACUGAAUUAAUUUUGGAUUUGUUUUGGUGUAGCAAAUCUGAAAGGUCAUUUUCUUAGUUAUUACUUCAUUUACUAAAUAAUCAAGAGCAUUGGACAAUUUGAUUUUGUAGUGUUUUGUUUGCUGCAUUGACAAAUGAAUCUUGCAUUCUAUUGUUUUUAGGAGUUUUAGAUUACAUCCUGAAUAUGACAUGAUGAUCUCUUCUAUCUUCCAAAAUGAGAAUGAUCUGCAACAUUAGAGUUGUAUUUAGUUCUAUGUCCAAUGUGAGAAUGAGAAAAUUAAGAGCUCUAUUUAGUUUUAUCUCCAAUUAUCUCUAAUAUGAGAAUGAGAAACAACAGUAGUUGGAAUGUUUUCUUGCAAUCUUCCUGUGCUAUGAUUUAGUUCUCUCUCCAUAUAUGAGAAUAAGAAAAUGAGAAAGAGAAACAAGAUUAUUUGGAAUGUUUUGUAGUAAUCUUCUUGCACUAUGAUUCGGUUCUCUCCCAAUAUGCGAAUGAGAAACAACAAUAUUUGGAAAGUUUUGUCGUAAUCUUCUUGUGCUAUGAUUCGGUUCUGUCCCCAAUAUGCGAAUGAGAAGAUGAGAAACAACAGCUUAUGAGAGCUCCAUUUGGUUCUAUCUCCAAUAUGAGAAUGAGAAACAACAGUACAUGAGAGUUCUAUUUAGUUUUAUCUCUAAUACGAUAAAGAAGAGAAACAAAAGCAUUUGGAUUGUUCUCUUUGUAAUCUUCGUGUGCUAUGAGCAACGCCUCCCCUCGAGGCUAUGGUUACGGGUGAUGCCUCUCUAUUCCAACAUGAGAGCUCUAUAUAUUUUUUUGGGGUGGGGUCUCAAUUUAUGAUACCAUGUGGAAGCAGACACCAUAUUUUUGCCGUCUAUAUUUCUCAGCUCUUGCUGAUUUUGCCAUGCUGAACUUAGUUUUCUUGAAUUGCCAUUCUUCUUAAAUUUUUACAGUAAAGCAAUAGAUAUGUGGGGGCAGGUUUUGGAAACAUUGUAUGGAGAUCUGGUGAAACUUUAGAUUUUAUUAUCUUUGCAUAUUCAUCAUUUUCUUUGAUGGCUAAACUUGUGGAUUGGGAGUUCUUGUAAACAGGCACUAUGUGAGUUUGAGAGGCUUUGGCAAUUGUGUUGUUAGGCCUUCGAUCCUGGUGAUUUGAUAAUCUGUUGCAGUGAAGACUUUAUGGAUGUCUGUUACCCAAAUUACGGUACAUUAUUGGACUUACAUUUCCAUUUCACUAUUUUUUUUAUAUCCUUGAUUUGGUUGUGGUAUCUCUUAUUGGUUGAAUAGUGGGAAGGCACAUGUGAAUCUUAUGAUGUAUUGCCUUUAAUAGUUUUUGCUGUUGGAAAAAUAAUCUAGAAGUCCUUUCUUAGCAAAUUAUUCUCAUUAUUGUAGAAAUUCUAUAACAUUUAUUCAGGUUUUACUUUCUACAAUUAGUUUAUUUUUAUCCACUCCGAUAACUAAUUAAAUAUUUACUUUCUCUAGAAAGUAGACUAUGUGAUUGAUAUAUUUUAAUGUUAUUCAUAAAUUAGUUCUUUAUAUUAAUCAUUACAAAAAUGUUUGGUAUACACUCAUAUUUAUCAUAUUGCCUUCAAGUAGAAAGGUAUUUGUAUAGGGCAAUUGCUUCCUCCCCCAAUCAAUUUUGACUAGCAUUCAAUAGAAGUUUUAAAACUUCAUUAUGCCUUUUUCACGGCUUACGAAUGCCAAUAUCCAAAAGUGACAUAUUUGCCUAUGGAUAUUGCCAUUUGGAAGUGAUAGUUUUGCCUACGGAUAUUAACAUUCGAAAGUGUCAGUUUUGCCUACGGAUAUUGACAUUUGGAAGUGUCAGUUUUGCCUACGGACAUUGGCAUCUGGAACUGGCACUCUUUGAUUGCGUUCAUUUUUAUCCGAAAGGCACUAUCAUUUUUCUUAAUAUACAUAUCAGGAAGCCAAUCAUCCUUAACUUUUUUUUUUGGCAGUGUAAUGAUUUUGUUACUUUUAAUGGAUUAAAACCACUAAACCGAACCAAUUUAAAGAAUAAAAGUAAAAUCAACAUUAAAAUUUGUUACUUGCUUUUUAUUAUAAAAUAUUUAUAUUAUCAUUUAUAUAUUUUCAAAUGCAUUAACCAUUGAUGACAUAUAGAACAUUGUUGAGAGUAGAAAAAAAGCACCCAAUAAACACAUUUUGGAUUUUCAAAAUGGGACCUGAUGAAAAAGACUUUCGUGGUGCAUAUGGAUGUUUAUAUUCAUAACUCAUAACACAAUUACGGACAAAAAUAUUCAGAACCCGUGAGAAGCGUGAAGCGACACGUCUCCUUUUCUGGUGUCUUUGCUUUCUGUCGUUGUUGAAGUGGCUCAAAAGCGUUGCUUGCGUGUGUGUAAGACUUUCGGAAGAGAAUGUCUACAAGAAACAAUGAAUGACCUUCUGCACUGUGCUUGAUUGUGGGGUGUAUGGAACCUAAUUUCACUCAUUAAGGGUGUCAUGGUAAUUUCAUAUAGAUCAUUAAGGGUGUUAUGGUAAUUUCAAACAGAAAAUUGGGUGUUAGUUAGAAUUGAUUGGGUGCAGGAGAGUCAGCUUUGUGUAGCAAUAAAAAGUCACAAAGAAAUCUAUUCAACUCUAAAAGGUUGUGAUAUUUAACACCACAAAGAGUAAAAAACAUUCACAAAUUAAUAAAAUAAUAUUUUAAUCAUAUUUAAUUUAUUUUUAUUUUUAAAUAUUAUUAUAUUAUUAUAAUGAGAUGUUAAGUAUACGUUUUUACAUGGUGUCAAAAAAUUAUUUUCCUAUUCUAAAAGAACUUAGACAAAUGUCUUAUUAUAAUAAAACUAAUAAUGUGGAAAAUAUUUUAAAAAACACUAAUAAAAGAAAUAAGUUUAUUUUUCAAAUUGAAGUCAAAUUAAGAUUAAAACAAUCUUAAAAUUUAAUUAUAUUGACUAAAAAGUUAAUAAAAACAAAACAAUAUUUACAAGAUAUUUUUAAAUAUCUUUAAAAUAAUAACUGCAAAUUUGUUUCCCCUGUUUUGUGUCAGCGGUUUGUUAUAAGAUAAGGAUGAAAAUCUUAAUUGCAUAUUUUCACCUCACCGCGUAAUAUAAGCUGUCAAUCUUGACCCUCCCUUUCUAUAUAUACCCGAAGAUCUUAUUGAGUUUAUCAUAUUGAGUUUUGUUGGUAUUGGUUCCGUGAUUGAGUUUUGUUAGUACUGAUUGGGGGUGAUUGUUGUGCUUCUUAUUAUCAAGUCUCCGUGGUUUCGUCGAAUUAUAUCAUGUUUGCUAUCAUCGAUGUGGUUUUGAUGUGGUUUUGUCGGAUUGAAGAAUGCAAGAAUCUUUUAUAGGAUUGAAGAACGCCAAUUCUGAAUAUGAUUCUUUAUGUGAUGAUGACAAGUUUUGAAUCUUUUGAUCAAAUUCCUUUAUCCCUUUUCUGCUGGUGACGGGGUCUUUGAGUAUUUUCUUCUACUUUCCUUUCUAUUAUUUGAUUUAUCUGGUAUUGAUCACGAAAAUAAGGAUUGGACUAUGAUUUGUUUAUCUGCAGUGGUGUAACACGUUUCUUAGUUAGUUUUCUUGAUUUUUGGGCUGUACAGGGAAGACACGCAAUGGAUGUGAAAUGAAGUAUUAUGUUUUCUUGACUUCUUAUGGGUUUAUUCGUGACUGAUUAUUGGAUUUCGUAGCCUAACUUGGUGUUUAUGUUCACUCCCCUUCAGCAAUUCGAGUUUCUGAGAUUUGAAACCCUAAAAAGUUUGAAACGGUUGCAGCUCAGGACAUCCCAAUUCUCUCUAUCUAUUGUUUAAUUUCUCUCUACUUUAUCUCCAAGGAUUGAAUUGUGUUCGACGUUUGAAUUAUUUUCCCUUAAUGUUAUGAGGCCCCAAGGGUUGAAUUGGUGUUUGAAUUAUUUUUUUCGCUUAAUGUCCUGCAGAGUAUGUUAUGAGACAUAAGGGCUGAAUUGUGAUUUGUUUCCUGUUUGGAUGAUUUGCAUAGCAUCUUAUAGAAUAUGAAUGGUUUGGUUUUCGCACGGUUCUCGCGAGUAUGUUAUAGCCACCAUUCUUCCUUGGUUUUUAAGUCUUCAAUUUAUCUUAUCGUUCUAUACUUCAUCCUCGAUUACCAGUUAUACUUUGUUGAAUUAUUGUUCUUUACAGGGAUGAGUGGGGAUAAGACAGGGAUGUGUGGGUAGGACGUUCCUCGUGGUUGGUUGAAAAUGGUGGAUGAGCCAUGCUCGACGGUAUGAAAAACACAACGACAAUGGGCUCGACAUAACCGAAGUCUUUUUUGAGUUUUCCUUCUAUUUUUCUUCAACAUAAGGAUAUGAUUUGUUUAUCUGCAGUGGUGUUUUGAACCUUUUGCGUAAAUUUCUUUGCUCCUUUUCAGUUGGUGGCCGAUUCUCUGGCGUUUCUUUAGCUUUUGGAUGAUUUGAAAACUAGAACGACCAAGAGCUAGGCAUAACCUAAGUCUUUGUUGAGUUUCCCUUCUUUAACUUUUUUUUCUGCUAUUGAUCACAGUACAUAAGGAUUGAACUAUGAUUUGUUUAUCUGCAGUGGUGUUUGGAUUAGUUGGGUAACGACACAUACUCAUCUUAUCAUGUUCCUAUAACUAGUAAAUUCAUUUACUGAAUUUUGAGUAUAAUUGUCUAUUUGAGUAUGACGAGUUUUAUACCUUUUGCGUAAAUUUCUUUUCAGCUGGUGGCUGGUUUUUUGGUAUUUCUUUUGCCUAUGGAUGAUAUGGAAAGCACAACGACCAAGGGCUCGACAUAACCUUAAGUCUUUUUUUAGUUUCCCUUCUAUUUUUGUUAUGGUAUUGCAUAAGGAUUGAACUAUGAUUUGUUUAUCUGCAGUGGUGUUUGGAUUAGUUGGGUAACGUCACAUAUUAAUCUUAUCAAGUUUCUAUAAUUAGUAAAUUCAUUUAUGUCUAUAUGAGAAUGACGAGUUUUGAACCUUCUGCGUAAAUUUCUUUGCACCUUUUCAGCUGGAGUUCUCUGUCAUUUCUUUCUCCUAUGGAUGAUAUGAAAAGCAGAAGGACCAAGGGGCUCGACAUAACCUAAGUCUUUUUUGACUUUUUUUUUCUAUUUUUCUUUUUCCUGGUAUUGAUGACAGUACAUAAGGAUUGAACUAUAAUUUGGUUAUCUGCAGUGGUGUUAGGAUUAGUUGGAUAACGACGCAUAUUCAUCUUACAAGUUGCUAUAACUAGUAAAUUCAUUUAUGUGAAUUUUGAGUAUAAUUCUCUAUUUGAGUUUGACAAGUUUUAAACCUUUUGCGUAAAUUUAGUUUCAGCUGGUGGCUGGUUUUUUUGCCUUUCUGUUGCCUAUGGAUGAUAUGAAAAGCACAAUGACCAACGGGCUCGUCAUAACCUAAGUCUUUUUUGAGUUUUCCUUCUUUUUUUCUUUUUCCUGGUAUUGUUCACAGUACAUAAGGAUUAAACUAUGGUUUUGUUUAUCUGCAGUGGUAUUUGGAUUAGAUGGGUAACAACGCAUAUUCAUCGUAUCAAGUUUCUAUAACUAGUAAAUUCAUUUACGUCAAUUUUGACUAUAGUUCUCUAUUUGAGUUGACACUAUAGUUCUUUAUUUGAGUAUGACGAGGAAAAUUACUUAAAUUUCUUUUCAGCUGAUCAAGGGCUCAACAUAACCUUAAAUCUUUUUUGACUUUCCCUUUUAUUAUUUUUUUUAGGUAUUACAUAAGGAUUGAACUAUGAUUUGUUUAUCUGCAGUGGUGUUAUGAUUAGUUGGGUAACUUCACAGAUUCAUCUUAUCAAGUUUCUAUAAUUCAUUUAGGUGAAUUCUGAGUAUAAUUCACUAUUUGAGGAUGAUGAGUUUUGAACAUUUUGUGUAAAUUUCUUUGCAUAUUUUCAGUUAUUGGCUGGUUCUCUGGCAUUUCUUUUGCCUAUGAAUGAUAUGAGAAGCACAACGACCAAGGGGCUCAACAUAACCUAAGUCUUUUUUGAGUUUUCCUUAUAUUUUUCUUUUUACUAGUAAUAAUAACAGUACAUAAAGAUUGAACUAUGAUUUGUUUAUCUGCAGUGGUGUUUGGACUAGUUGGGUAACGACGCAGAUUCAUUUUAUCAAGUUUCUAUAACUAGUAAAUUCAUUUACGUGAAUUUUGAGUAAAAUUCUCUAUUUGAGUAUGACGAGGUUUAAACCUUAUGCGUAAAUUUCUUUUCAGCUGGUGGCUGGUUUUUUGGCAUUUCUUUUGCCUAUGGAUGAUAUGCAAAGCACAACGACCAAGGGCUCGAUAUAACCUUAAGUCUUUUUUGAGUUUCCCUUAUAUUAUUCGUUAAUGGUUUUACAUAAGGAUUGAACUAUGAUUUGUUUAUCUGCAGUGGUGUUUUGGAUUAGUUGGGUAACGUCGCAUAUUCCUCUUAUCAAGUUUCUAUAGUUAGUAAAUUCAUUUAUGUCUAUAUGAGGAUGACAAGUUUUGAACCUUCUGCGUAAAUUUCUUUGCACCUUUUCAGCUGGCGUUCUCUAGCAUUUCUUUCUCCUAUGGAUGAUAUGAAAAGCAGAAGGACCAAGGGGCUCAACAUAACCUAAGUCUUUUUUGAGUUUUUUUUUCUAUUUUUCUUUUUCCUGGUAUUGAUGACAGAACAUAAGGAUUGAACUAUGAUUUGUUUAUCUGCAGUGGUGUUUGGAUUAGUUGGAUAACGACGCAUAUUCAUCUUACAAGUUUCUAUAACUAGUAAAUUCAUUUACGUGAAUUUUGAGUAUAAUUCUCCAUUUGAGUGUGACGAGUUUUAAACCCUUUUUGUAAAUUUACUUUCAGCUGGUGCCUGGUUUUUUGGCCUUUCUGUUGCCUAUGGAUGAUAUGAAAAGCACAACAACCAAGGGCUCGACAAAACCUUAAGUCUUUUUUGAGUUUCCUUCUAUUUUUUUAUGGUACUACAUAAGAAUUGAACUAUAAUUUGUUUAUCUGCAGUGGUGUUUGGAUUUGUAUAACGUCACAUAUUCAUCUUAUCAAGUUUCUAUAAUUAGUAAAUUCAUUUAGGUCUAUAUGAGGAUGACGAGUUUUGAACCUUUUGCGUUAAUUUCUUUGCACCUUUUCAGCUGGAGUUGAGUUGUGAACUUGUUUGGAAGUUUUGCAUGUAAUCUCCUUUGAGCCUAGACUGCAAUGUCUCUUAUGCUGAAAUCUUUGAAAUCAGAAUAAUGAACCGGAGUGACAACAAUGCUCUAACGCUGAAAUUUUUGAAAUCAGUAUAAUAAUGAUCCUGAAAUUGUUUAAAUGCUUCACUUUUGUUUCAACAAUCUCCAUUUAUGUUUCUCAUUCUUCGAGUUUUGAAAUCAGCAUUUAUUUGUUUGCAGCACAUUUUGUCUUUAUUUGAGGUUUCUCUUUCAGAUUGUUAACUCAACCAGUGAUGGAAUAUAGUGGGACGGCUAACAUGUCUUAUCAACAAGUUUGAGUGUUUAUCCAAAACCAUUCCAUUCAUUUCUUUUUCAUAUUUGUACAAUUUGGAAAAGGAUUGUAUCCGAGAAAGAUAAUGGAGUUUUGGAGGUGAAUUUGUUAAUUUUAAUCAGAUUGACGAACGUCUCUUGGACAGGAUUUCGUCUCUAUUUGAUAUUUUCAGAUUUGAUCACCAAACAUAUGGAUUUUCUGUUGUCAUUUGUUUUUGUGCAGUGAUAUUUGCAUAAUGUUUCAUGCUACGUCUAAUCAAUCAUGUUGUUUGGAAGUUUGUAUGACUCUUGAUAACAGGCUUUACAAGAGUUUGGGAGGAUUAGUAAUUUCAGAGGUGAUACCUAUUAUCAUAUUUGUGUCUUGUAGUGUGAACUGUUCAAGUUUAUUCAUUUGCAAGAGGGAUCAAUUCUCCACUUUUGAUGCAGAAGAUUAGAUGGCUAACAUUAUUGUCCGUUCAUUUGAUCCAGCAAGAGCCCAUUCUAGAAAUGUGGUCUUCUCUUUAAAGGCCUUUAGUAUUUUACUAUCAUAAAUAGAUAUUAUUUCUGGUUCUAUUGUUUUGACUGAGAGGAAGUCACAAGUCUUGUUGAUAUAUGAUGAUCUCUUAUCAUUUCCCCUUAAUUCUUGGUUGUUGUUUUGACAGGGUAGGGUUUGGGGAGUCUGGGUUUUUGGAUUAGGAAUUGUCCAACCACCAACAAUGUGUGUACAAGUUUGAAAUAUAUGAAUGAAGGCUGUCAAGGAAAAUGAUUACAGCAAUGAAGGCUAAAAAAAAAAUUGCGGAAGCAGAGUCUCCUAGAUCAGGAUAUAUAUAUGCUAGAGUGGAAAGAAAUAGAUGAAAUAUAUUUCUGAGAUAUCUUACAAAUGUGAUUACAGUCUCUAUUUAUAGACUGUUUUACAACCUAAUUAAAGAAAGAAAUAAUAGGUGAUGAAAGCCAGAAAUAAAUAAUGAGUGUUUAAAGCUGUACAAAUCAAAUAAAAUAAAAUCACUAACAAAUCUGUACUAAUAAAUAUAAAAUGGAAUCUGCACUUAAUUAUAACAUAAUUCUCCUGAUUAUGCAACAGUUAGUUUGAAUUUUAUUGAAUUACAUAAAUGCUUUAUUAAUAUGAUCAUUUGAUUAUAGCAGAAUUGUAGUGGUUUUUAUAAAAUUAUUCUUAGUAGUUAUAUAAUUAUUCAUGGUUGUUAUAUUACCUUUAAUAGUUAUUGUUGUUGGAAAAAUAAUCUAGAAGUCCUUUGUUGGCUAAUGAUUCUCUAACAUUUUUUUAAAAAUUUUAUAGUAGUUGUAUUUUGAUUUGACAAUUUAGUUUAGUUUCUUUUAUUGACUCUUAUAGCUAAUUAAUAUUGACUUUCAUUAGAAUGUUGAUGAUGAUGUGAAUGAUGUGUUUUAAUGUUGAUUGUGUUGUGAUUCUAUUUUAUAAAAUAUUGUUUUAUGGUAAUCAUUAAUCAAUUGCUUUGUAUACACUCAUUUAUCAUAUUGCUGUAUGACAAAUCUUAAAGCCCUCUAAGAGAAAGGUUCCUGGGUUGCUUUGUGGAAAGUUUUAAACUCGCUCGCAAUGGUAAAGGAUGGAUCAAUGUGCUUUUAUGCAAGAAUUAUUAGUAAAUUCAUUUACGUGAAUUCUUAGUAUAAUUCUCUAGUUGAUUAUGACGAGUUUUUAACCUUUUCAGCUUAUGGCUGGUUCCCUAACAUUUCUUUUGCCUAUGGAUGAUAUGAAAAGCCCAACAAUCAAGGGCUCAACAUAAAGAAAGUCUUUUUUGAGUUUCCCUUCUAUUAUUCUUUUUGCUGGUAUUGAUAACAUAAGGAUUGAACUAUGAUGUGUUUAUCUGCAAUGGUGUUUGGAUUAGUUGGGUAACAUCGCAUAGUCAUCUUAUCAAAUUUCUAUACUUUGUCUUAAUAAGAGUGUUUAUUGUUUCCUUCAAUUUUUGGACUAUCGUUUCCUUCAAUUAAAUUUGGUGUUUGUGUUCAUUCCUUUUCAGCAAGUCCUGAGUCUUUGAGAUUUCUUUUGGUGGUUGAGGAACUACAGAAUGGUUGUAGAUCAGGAUAUCCUAAUUUCUCUAUACUUGAUCACCGAACAUUGAAUAGUGAUUUGUUCUUAUGCAGUAAACAUAAGGAUUUAAUUUUGAUUAUUUUCGUAUAAUGUCCUUUAUCUCAUGGAGUAUGUUAUGUGGCAUAAUAGUUUAAUUGUAAUUUGCUUCUUUGCAGCGUGAAAUUGGCUUACCGUAUUGCAUCUUAUGGGGUAUGUUAUGAGUGACCGUGUCUCCCUUAAUUUUUUAAUUUAUCUAAUAGUCCUUUAUUACCUGUUAUAGUUUUGUUGAAUUAUUGUUCUUUAUAGGGAUGUGUGGUAAUUAGCAAGAGCUCAGGACUAUUUGGUUUCAAUUUUUUUAUAACAAAACUUUAUUUUGCCUUUAUUAGUUUCCUUCAUUGACAAAUGAAUUUUGAACUUGGUUCUUGCAAAGCAUCAAUGUCCUUGCCUAAUUUGUGUUUCAAGAUUAUUGAUCUUUCGUAUUGAAGUUCUGAAAAUUUAGGUGGAGCAGUAUUGAAAAGAUGGAUCUUGAAGUUAUUCCUUUCAUUUUAGUAGUGUAAUUAGCAAGAGCUCAGGAUUAUUUGCCUCCAUUCUUUGAUUACAGAACUUUUUAUUUUGUUUGUUCCUGCAUCGACAAAUGAAUUUUGAACUUGUUCUUGCAUAAUUUAUCAUUGGGAGGAAAUGAAUUGGUGGUUUAGGUUUGGGAAACAGUGGAUCGGGACCCUGUGGAAAUUUAGGUUUUGUUCUAUGUUUAUUAUUUCUUUGCUGUUAUUAUUCACGGAUAAACUUGUGGACUGGGAAUGUUUACCUCUAUAUGACAGGCACUGUAAACGUCUGUGUCAGCUAUUUAAUUUUCUCUUUCUUGUCCACACUCAGACAUUUCUUUCAGCAACUGAGUCAUUUAAAAGAGAGUUUCGUUUCUUUUCAUGUUCUUUAUUGUCAAAAUAACCUUUCUUUCUUUCUUAUCAGCUAUAGUAUUUAGUUUCACUGUGAUCUCGGGAUGUGUUAUUUGGAAGUGAUGUGGUUAUUCAUCCAAGGAUUAAUGUGUUAUUUGGAAGUGAUGUGGUUAUUCAUUCAAGGAUUGAGUUCCAUUCUCUUCGACUUGCUUUUGUUUGUUGUGUUCAUUGCUAUCAAACAACUUUCUUCCUUUUAAAUGUAUGGAGUCUAUUUUUUUAAGAUGAAAUCCCCACUAAAUGUAAUGUUUUUUUUUUCUUUCUUUUUCAUCAUUGCCUAGUUAUUUCUGUUUCUCAUAGGCUUGGUCUCAUCCCUUCAACUUGCAUUUGUUUGUGUUCAUUGCUAUCAAACAGCUUUCUUCUUUUUAAAUGUAUGGAGCCUUUUUUGCUACGUCUAGAUGUUGAUUUUCUUGUGUUCAUUCAUUUUUAGGUGUUGAUUUGUUCGUGUUAAUUCCUUUUUAGCAUCUCGAGACUGCCGGAAUGGUUGAGGAUUAAAAUCUGAAAUUGUUUAGAACCACCAAUAAUUCAGGAUAACCUUCAACUUUGUUUUAGGUGUCAUUUGUUUUAUGUCUCUCUUUGUUUUAAAUGUCUUAUUGUCUCUAUACUUCAACUUUAUGAGCCGUUUGUAGCCUUCCUGAAUUCUUGGGGUGUACAGGACAAACAUGCAACAGAUGUGAGGUAGGAAAGAUGUGAGUAUCCUUGAAGCUUGAAUACUGGCAGGAGAUCCUUGAAGCUUUAGGUUUUGGUAUCCACACAUAUUUUUGUCUUUAAUUGGGACUGGCUAUUUGAAUUUCUCUGGUUUUUGAAUUCCUUCAAUUCAUUAAUUCAUUUUGUCCUUUCUUAAAUUCUGGGUCUUUAUUACCAAUAUCUAUUUGAAUUUAAAUAUAGUUCUUAAAUUUUUUAUGUAUAGGUGUUGAUUCGUUUGUGUUCAUUCCUUUUUAGCAUGUAAGACUGGUUGAGGAUUAAAAUCUGCAACUGUACACGAAAAAACAAGCAACGGAUGUGAGCUAGGAUAUCUGAAUACUGGAAGGACAUGCUUGAUUCUAUAGGUUAUCCAUACUCUUUGAUGACAGAUGUCUACUUGAGUUUGGAUGUAGUUAUUUAUUUGAUGACUGAGAUCUAUCAUAUGUAACUGUUUAUCUGCUUGUGUUAGUUCCUUUUCAGCAGGGGAUUCUGGUUUAGGAUAAAAAAACAUAAAUUUGAAUAUUGUUCUUGUCCGAUUAUCAAAAUAUGUAAAACCUAGCUAUUUGAUGUUGAUUCUUUUUUAGCACAUUAAAGGUUAAUAAUAAUACAAUACUCAGGGAAGAUGUCUCCUCUUUAUUUGAAACUUUGUAGAUUGAGCAUAUUUUUCGAGACUGAUAUAUGAGGUAGGAUGUGGAAACACUGGGAUUUGUGAAGCUUUAGGUUUUGUUAUCCUUACAUUUCUUAUGUUUUUAUUUGUGACUAACUAAACUUCUUGUUUGGAUGCUAAGUUUUGGUUGGAUUCAUUGCAGACCUUGUAGUGUGUCUGACAGUUCUUAUUGGUGUAUAUGUAGCAAUCACUAGCAGACUAUUAGAGGUCCUGUAAUUUGGGGAGGAUUUGUCUGACAGAAUUUCUAACAACUUAAUAUGAAGUACUGAAUUAAUAGUGAAAAAAAAGAUAAAGAAAAAAUAUCAUGGCCAUUAAAAGUUUAUGUUUCUUGUCCUGUUCAGCCAUGGCACUUGUCAGUGAGCUCUUGCUUCUUUCUCUAUUGCCCCAUAUGCAUACUUUUUCGCAUUUCUUACUCUUUUUUUAAGUUGUUCAUUUUUAAGUAAUUUAGGCUUCUCAUACUGGUUUCAUAGUGAAAUUUGAGCCUUUUACAUGGUGCCAUUGAAAUUAAGGAGGGAAUUAAUGAUCUUUAGUUUUAUAGUACUGAAUUAAUUUGGAUUUGCUUAGGUGUAGCAAAUUUGAAAGGUCAUUUUCUUAGUUAUUACUUCAUUUACUAAAUUAUCAAGAGCAUUGAACAAUUUGAUUUUGUAGUGUUUUGUUUGCUGCCUUGACAAAUGAAUCUUGCAUUCUAUUGUUUUUAGUAAUUUUGGGUUACAUUCUGAAUAUGACAUAUGAUGAUCUCUUAUAUCUUCCAAAAUGAGAAUGAUCUCCAACAUUAGAGCUGUAUUUAGUUCUAUCUCCAAUGUGAGAAUGAGAAAAUUGAGAGCUGUAUUUAGUUUUAUCUCCAAUUAUCUCUAAUAUUAGAAUGAGAAACAACAGUAGUUGAAAUGUUUUCUUGUAAUCUAUCUUCGUGUGCUAUGAUUCAGUUCUCUCUCCAUAUAUGAGAAUAAAAAAUGAGAAAGAGAAACAACAUUAUUUGGAAUGUUUUGUCGUAAUCUUCUUGCACUAUGAUUUUGUUCUCUCCCAAUAUGCGAAUGAGAAAAUGAAAAACAACAGUAUUUAGAAAGUUUUGUCGUAAUCUUGCGCUAUGAUUUGGUUCUCUCCUCAAUAUGCAAUGAGAAGAUGAGAAACAACAUUCCUUAACUUGUAAUUGAUUUUAUAUUAAUUGUUUAACUAUUCACUUCAUGUUUUUCUAAUUUGAAGAUAUCUCUUUACUAAAAACAAUGUAAUUAAUUUUAUAUUAAUUGUUUAGCUAUUCA
This 19446-nucleotide long non-coding RNA is filed under the name Phaseolus vulgaris (common bean). Its description in RNAcentral is "long non-coding RNA (PVUL_LNC004094)". The record is from RNAcentral. Lineage: Eukaryota; Viridiplantae; Streptophyta; Magnoliopsida; Fabales; Fabaceae.